GGGGCCUAGGGACUGCCUAGCAGUUUUAGAGGUUUUAGGGGUUUUAGAGGUCAUGGACCCCUGGGGACUGAACAAAGCUGUGUGGAUAUGUGCCUGAAUGAAUGAUUCUGGGACGGGGGGGAGGGGUCAGUAGCACUCACCACAUUUUGGAAGAGCUCUGUAACCCCAAAAUAGUUAAGAACUUUCAUUUACCUGGUCAAAUUAUAGGCUGAUUUUGUGUGAUUUUUCUUUAUGUAUUUCUAGUUUGCUUUAGUUUCUGUUUCUAUUUUAUGUAUGUUGUUGCUUUGUUAGUUGUGACGUUAUCUUAAGAAAUAGGCAGGGUAUAAAUUAUCAAGAAAUUACCAUGUUUGGGGCAUAUAUAUUUAACAGUGAUAUAUCGAGAAACUGUGCCUUUUAGUGCCCUUUUUGAAUGCUUCUAGCUUCAACUUCUCCUUUCCAAAUAUCAAAAGCCCCUUGCUUUUUUUGAGUUUGCAUUUGCAUGAGAGUUUAUUUAGCUUGGCAUUUUAUUUUUUAAAUUUGUGUAUAUAUUUUGCUAUAUAACUUAUAAACAGCAAAUUGUUGGAUUUUGUUUUCUGAAUUCUUUCUAUAUUUUUUCUCUUUACAUAAGUUCUCCUAUUAUUAGUGUAAUUGUUCAGAGUGAGGCAUAAUUAAUAUUCCUCUUAAUAUUUUAACAUGCAGUAACUCAUUUAACCCACAGAUCAUGCUUACCCCCCACCCCCAUCUCCGUGAGUUAUUAUCCAUGUGUGGAGUGUCACUUCAGGUGGACUAGAGGUCUGCCAUUGGGCACCUGUUCCCCUGGGUCUUUGUCAGUGCCUGGCUGUCCCGAGCCCAAUCUUGAAGUCACUGCCUCUGGCUUCAGUGUCCUUGGCUAUAACUGGGAGGAAUCAUAUCUCCCCCCUGCCCCCCAGCCCUGUGUGGCUCAGGGAACUAAUGAAAGCAAACCUGCGUGGCAAACUGAGGGUAUAGGUGAUUCUUACACUAGUCACGUUUAGAAAUAUUCCUUUAUUGGAGUUCCUGUCCUGGCACGGCGGAAACAAAUCCAACUAGGAACCAUGAGGUUGUGGGUUUGAUUCUGGGCCUCACUCAGUGGGUUGAGGAUCUGGCAUUGCCAUGAGCUGUGGUGUAGGUUCCCAGGCUAGGGGUCUAAUCUGAGCUACAGCUGGCCUAUGCCAGAGCCACAGCAAUGCCAGAUCUGAACCUUGUCUGCGACCUACACCAGAAGGAUGACCUACCUCAUGGCAACGCGGUAUCCUCAACGCACUGAGUGAGGCCAGGGUGGAACCUGCAACCUCAUGGUUCCCAGUCGGAUUCAUUUCCACUGUGCCACGAUGGGAACUCCUAGAAAUACUCCUUUAAUUUUCUGUUCUUACUCCCAAAGUUUGUCCAACAUAACUGAGAACAUUACCUGGUGCUUUACUUUUAAGAAAAUAUAUGAGAUGCAGCAAAGAGACAUCAUAGGUCAUUCUCACCCUCACUGAGGGAAACCACACGGUCAUUUGAAAGAGAGAUGGGGUUCCUGAUCUUGUACCCCUCUCAUCAUCACCUGUCUGUCCCAGGCCAGUCCACUCAAACUUCCCCUUCUGGGGUGGGGGCAGGGCACUGUCACCAAGAUGGUCACUCUGGCCACCCCCGUGGCAGGUGGGAAGUAGAGGCCCGUGAUUUACCACAGGUGCAGGGAUUGAGUGUCAGGUCUGCCGGCAGCCGUGGGCAGGGAGGAAAAUUCAGAUGUUAUACUGGAGCCCAAACCACUGCCACUGGGACUUCUCAGAGGCAGCAAAUGGAACUGGCCCCCACAGACCCAGGUGGGGACCAGCUGGCCUCUGCAGGGUCGCUCAGCUCUUGGGGCUGAGCAGAAGUUCGCUCACAUCACCACCCACGUCUGGAUGAACUUGCCAUUGACUUAAGCGUCGCCUACUGGAGGUAGGGAAGGGAGCCCUUUUCUUGUGGGAGAGCACCCUCUUCAGUAUCUCAUAGCCAGGAAUCCAAGCCAGGGCCUGGCUGCUGAGGGUGGAGUGGGGCUGUCCCACGAAGACACCCCCUCCUCUGCCACAGGCCAACACGUGCCUCAUUGCCAGGACACUGGCAGGGGCUGCUUGCUAGAGACCCUCUCACGUUUGCUGCCUGUGUGUGUCCACCACUGUCAUACACCUUCCACGGCCCCUGCUCCCCCUCUGUGGCUGUCAGCCAUCUUUCUGUCUCCUCUUGUUUUCUUCAGUCUCGCUUGCUGAUGUCAACCAGGAACCGAGUGCCACCUCCUCCUCCCAUCCCACGGCAUAGCCCUCCCUGGCCUCCCCCCUCAGGCCUUUCGCUCCUCCGCAGCCGGGGCCAUCCUUCUGCCCCACAAUCUGGUGGAGUCCCCUCUCUUCCUCAAACACCCACUUGGGUUCCCAUGGAAAGCUCAUCAAGGCCCUUCCAGAUCUGAUGCCCCCUCCCCACCAGGGCCUCCAUGCUGAGGCCACACUGCAGGCCUUCGUCCCUCAGGGCGUCCCCUCCCAUGUGUAGAACGAGCACGGGCCAAGGACAGGGGGAGCGCUCCUCCAGGCUCAGAUCUCCCAAGGGCCAGGUGUACAUGCUGUGCCCAGCCCCCAGCUCUGUUCUGGGUGUUAGGUGCACUUGAGCCAGAGAAGGAGGCUGGGUUUAGGGUCAGGGCCAGCACUUUAGGUAGCAGAGAAUGAGGAGAGAGAGGGUCCAAUUAGAGCGAUUGUCUGCUUUUCUUUAAAAUUGAAGUAGAGUUGGAUUUCCCAUUGUGGCGCAGUGGUUAACGAAUCCAACUAGGAACCAUGAGGGAUUGAACCCACAUCCUCAUGGAUCCUAGCCAGGUUCGUUCGUUUGUUAACUGCUGAGCCAUGAGCAGAACUCCUUGUCUUUCUCUUUCUGAUUUACUUCACUUAGCAUAAUAAUCUCUAGCUCCAUAUUUGUUGUGCACAUGGCAUCAUUUCAUUCUUUUUUAUGGCUGAAUAACUAUUUUUUGUGUUUUGUUGUUGUGGUUUUUUUAUUUUUGUUUUUGUUUUGGCUGAGGUAUGCAAUGGCUUGAUGUGGGGUUUCAGUUCCCAGACUAGUGAUUGAACCCAGGCUGCAGUGGUGGAAGCCCUGAAUCCUCACCACUAGGUCACCAGGAAAGAACCCUAUUUUUAGACUUCUAAGGAACCUCCAUACUGUUUCCCAUAGUGGCUGCACUAAUUUCCAUUCCUCCUAACAGUGUGGGUGGGUUUGCUUUUCUCCACGCCCUCACCAGCAUUUGUUAUUCCUCACUUUUUGAUGGUGGCCUUUCUGAGCAGCAGUGACCAUCUUAUGUCUGUGCUUUCACAUGUUAUCACACCUGGCGCGCUUAACACCUCCUAAAAACAAUGGUUUCCCCAGCGCCGUGAGAUGGUUUGCCUGGGCCCCCAUCCUCCACAGCCCAGCCCCAACCAAGACACCCAGGCCUCCCUCAGGCAGAGCCUCACAAUGGCUGAAGCUCCUUCUCCCUGGUUUCUCCCCUGUUAGAUGUGAGCCUGGUUCAUGGAGCGAGGUAGGAGCGGGAGUCACUUGGUGAGAGCAGAGUCACUGGCAGAGCCUGCCUCCCCAGGCCAAGGGGAGGGACAGACCUCACUAUCCCGGGACAAAAGGGGAGAUGGACGGCCAAUAGCAGGGGUUUCUCUGAGACCUCAGCUCCGUCCUGAGAGUGUAUGUGAGGGACCCGAGCCCGGCUGGAGCAGAGAUGGGGGAGGGGGACCCCAGCCCCUGCCUGGUGCUCACUCCCCUGAGGGAGACCCAUUGGUGGCCUCCUCACCAGUGGCUGACCCAGUGUCUCCUCUUCCCUUUGCCUUGGCCACUCUCAGCCCAGAAGCCAGACCUGCCCCAGGGUCCCCUGUGGGCACACUCAGCCCAACUUCUAUUCAGACAGUGGGGUCUGGGAGUGGCUCCCUGUGAUCCCCUGGGGUGGCCCCGCCUGGUCCCCCUCUAAGGUGUCACACCCCCUCUAGGGUGUCACAACCCACACCCUAGCUCCUGGACCCUCCGCUCCUCCAGGGCCGCUAGGGGGCGCUGUCCACUCACUGGAACCGCAGGGGGACCCAGCAGGUGAAGACCUGGAGGAGGGGGCCCCCCCCAAAAGGCCAUGCUCGGGGACCCGCGUGUGAUGCCCAGGGAAACUGAGGCCAAGGAGUCCAGGCAGGGGCAGAGGGGACCCGGGGGCGGGCUCGGUGACCACCCAGUGAUUCCUUUGGCAGUCACCAGGUUCUCAGCACUAUAGGGGGAUGCGCACUGCUGCGGACCACAUCCAGGGGCCAGAGUCCGAGGAGGUGCUCAGACACAGGACCUGUCCGCCUGUCCCUGCCGCUAUGAGUUCUGCUGCCCUGCAGAGCUAGCUGCAGGUCGCAGUGAGCCCAACAUGAACGUCCAUGUCCCCAGGCUCCAGGUGGGUGUGUGUCCUCCAGAAGCCCUUACCCGUGCGCCAGGGAGGCACAGGGCUUUCUGGGGCCCUGUUAGUGAAGGAAGGACGGGGACUGCCCAAUGUCCACCCACGCAGACCCGCUAGCACUUCGGUGUUCACACCGAGCCCUCUGGGUCCCCCUGCUUGACUGGCUCUCCCUACCCCCUACCCCAGUCCUAGAGAUGCUAAGUACAGGAAUUUAGGAGCAAUAUGUCAGCAGGAGCUGUCCAGGUACAUUUGGCACUUUGGACAAGUCUCAAGGUGCUCAGCCAGCUCUGAAAGAGGAGGAAAGCCUGCCCCUCCUGCCCCCCGCCCCCUUCCUUGUUUCCAGCCCUGCUGGCCUCCCUGCUAUUUCUGCAACCUGCCAGGCACAUUUGACCACAGGGCCUUUGCACUUGCUGCCCCUUCUGUCAGGAGCACUCCUCCCCAGGUGCCUCCGGGGGACCCCCUCCUUCAUUCAGGGGUGGCCCCUGCUGACCAUCCACCAGCUAUCACCCGAAGCCCCUUCCUUUCCUGAAGAACUUGUCGCACCUCAUGUUAUGGUAUAAUGUGUUGCUUACACUGCCUCGCCCACUGUAACUUUGCUCCAGGACUUGGUCUCUGAGGUCCCUGCCACGUCCCCAGGGCCCUGAGCAGCAGCUGCAGCAAUGCCAGAUCCUUUGACCCACUGCACUGUCUAGGCUGGGGAUUGAACCCGAGCUCCCCGAUGCACUUGGGCUCUUCACUUAACUGCACCACACUGGGGACUCCUGUCUUUCUUUUUAUAAUUGAGAAAAAGUUAAGCUGUGUCCAUUCUUGAAAACAAAACCAAUAGAAACAAUGCGUUGGAAAAUGAUGGCCCUGGUGAAACCCUCCUUCAGGCUCUGGUGUUGGUGGACCUGCUCUGGUAGCAGAUCCAUCUGGGCAGUGCCAGCCUAGCUGGGGGCACAGCUGGGUGGUGGCCCCCCUGCCCCACAUUGGCAGUGACAUUGGUGCUGGGCAGUGUGGGUGGGUAUCAGACCCAGUGUUGAGAGAAAGAAAACACAGUCUAACUUAAUCUACGUGAAGUCAAAAACAAGCAUAGCUGGAAAAUAGUUGGCUUAAGAGUCCACACAGAGGGAGUUCCCAUUGUGGCGCAGUGGUUAACGAAUUUGACUAGGAACCAUGAGGUUGCGGGUUCAAUCCCUGCCCUUGCUCAGUGGGUUAAGGAUCUGGCGUUGCCGUGAGCUGUGGUGUAGGUUGCAGACGCGGCUCAGAUCCUGAGUUGCUGUGGCUCUGGCAUAGGUCGGUGGCUACAGCUCCGAUUCAACCCCUAGCCUGGGAACCUCCAUAUGUCGCGGGAGCGGCCCUAAAAAAGGCAAAAAGGAAAAAAGGCAAAAAGGAAAAAAAAAAAAAAAAAAAA
RNAcentral lists this long non-coding RNA (5795 nucleotides) under Sus scrofa (pig). RNAcentral's name for it is "lncRNA (ENSSSCG00040062696.1)". Lineage: Eukaryota; Metazoa; Chordata; Mammalia; Artiodactyla; Suidae. The record is from RNAcentral.